AAUCUACUGCAUUUAAGGUUAGAUUUUCUGUCAGUGUUUCACAUAAAUAUUAACUUUUAAUUAUAUUUUUUUUUAUAUAAAUUGAAAUUGUAUAUUAGGAACGAAAAAAGUAAAUUGUUUAAAAUUGAAAAUGAAACAUGAACACAAUUGCUCGCAAUGUUUUGGUUUCUAUAAAAGUAAAUCUAAUUCUACAAUAUUGGUCGAAUUGGUUUCACAAUGUUUGUAUAAACAUAUAGUAAAACGUGUUUGGUGAAAGUAACCUGCAAAAUUUACUAUAUAUAUAUACACACAAAAUCCAGAAAGGAAUUCAAGCACAACUAGUGCGGUGAAGCCGCAGUCCUGCUGCUGUGGAUUUGCGGACGCAGGAUGUACGCUUUAUAGCCGCAAGGCCACAUUCUGAACUGGUCACUGAAUGUUGAGGAAAACAUCAAAUUUGGCAAUCCAUUGAUUAUUAUUCUUUCUCAUGUGAUAAUACAUAUAUGGUUUAAGUUUCGAAACUUUUAAUUGAGACCUUCGAACUUGCACAUAUAUAUCGUCAAUUAAAUAUUGAUUCUCGGAGAAAAAAAUACGAUCACCGCGGUUAUUCAACUUACAUUUACUUGCAAGGAAUUUUAUAUCGGUAAAAAGACCUGUACUAAACGGUAUAUCUAUAUAUUGUAUUGUAAUUUAAAUGCCACGAAGAUAUUGUUUUCCAUUUUAAGGCCUCAUUGCUUAAACUAAGUGCAACAACAAGAAAUUUCACGUGUAGCGAAUUCCUUACAUCAAAACAAAGCCUGCUUUCCUUACAUUUAUUUGGCACUCAAAAACAAUAUAUUUUCUCCAAAACAAUUGAAUUAAAUUUUCGUAAUAUAUAUAAUUUAUUUUCUCUAUAUUCAAUUUUAAAUUGAAUAUCAGGCCUCGGAUCGACUUUAAGACACAAGAAAAGUCGUUUUAGUCGAUUUAUAUUCAAAAAAAAGUUGAAAAAGUUGAUUUUUUCAAUUUUAACAAAAUUUAAUUGGUUAAUGAAUAUUUUCCUUUAAAUAACUAAUGUUAUUAGAUAUUAAAUUAAUUUUAUUAAUUUUGUAAUGAGAAUAAUUCUAUAUAAGAAUAAUUAUCAAGAAUAAUUUUAGAAAUAUUUGAAUUUCAAAAGAUUUUGUUAAUUUUCAGAGAAUAAUAUUUAAAUUUUUAC
This is a long non-coding RNA of Leptopilina boulardi, 1168 nucleotides long. RefSeq lists it as uncharacterized. Lineage: Eukaryota; Metazoa; Arthropoda; Insecta; Hymenoptera; Figitidae. The transcript has 3 exons. The record is from RefSeq and is a predicted model, not a curated record.